Gossypium arboreum is the source of this 738-nucleotide long non-coding RNA. RefSeq lists it as uncharacterized. Lineage: Eukaryota; Viridiplantae; Streptophyta; Magnoliopsida; Malvales; Malvaceae. The transcript is spliced from 2 exons. The record is from RefSeq and is a predicted model, not a curated record.
AAGAGAUUGCAAACACCAAACAAAAUUUCAUGCGGGAGAAAUAUGGAUGGAUGCAGAGAACAAAGGUUUCCUACACGUAUUGAACCAGCCAACAAUCAUUCCCUUCCCUUCUGGGAAAAUCUUUGGAUGGAUCUACCUUACCUAAUAAAUUCCCAUAAAAUAAUAAUUCUGGUUUUUGGUGAAAGUUUCUUGCAGGGUAUAUAUAAUUCAAGAGCCAAAUUAAGGACAUUUUGGGCGAGUAUCAACUAUGAAAUUCAUUUUAGGAGCUUAAUUAAUUACCUUAUCCUGUAGUGCAGAAAAUGGGGAAGAAAGUGGAUGGAAACAACAUCUGGUUUCUGUUUGGCAAACAAAAAGGCUUAAAUGGAUAACACAAGGGCAGCUUUCGGACCGGCAGCGGUGGAUGUAAUAAACAUCCAAGAUAACGGCGGAUCAAGCUCCAACUCCAAGUACAUGUGGGGAGGAUUUGGAGUAGGAGUAGUUUUGGUGGCUAUAAUAUUCAUGUUAUUCAAGAGCGCCUAAAAUCGGGUUUUUUUUUUUUGCAACUUUUCUUGCAAGGGCGGUUGCCAGGUCACCUCCUCCAAGACUUGUAAUAAUGUGUGAAAUGCCUGCAAUAACUUCAUACUUGUGCUUUUGUAAAUGAGUUUUACUUUUGGAGAAACGGUAAUAUUUGAGGUUGGCCAGUUUAUCUUCUUCUUGUUGAUUAUAUGGUAAUGGAAAAAUAAUUUAUUAUUAUCAUGU